AUGGGGAAAAUUUCAUUUCAACUUAUUUUGAUGGUUUCGUUGGUUCUGGGGCUUCUUUUCGGUCAGUCAACUGCAUUGCCCAGUGAAAUAUGCACCAAGGAAUGCCAGAAAAGAUGUUUGUCACAUAGUAGCCAAAAUACUGAAACGUGCACUGAAGUUAGAAAGUAUCAGCGUCAAACAAAGAACCAUAUACUUCUGUGAACUCGGUUGUGUUUAUUCCUUGUGCUUCAUCCUUAGAACCCAAGAGAAUCCUGGUAAUUGAUGUUAGGUUUUGUUUUAGUUUUUCAGGUGAUGAUGCGAAACUGAAAAGCUGUACGAAUUAUUACUCAAAGACAUGCACCAAAAAUUAAUCAUAAGGCUUGAUGUUUUUGUCACUGUUAUGGAGAAGAAAUGAAUGAGAAACCUUAUUUAACUUCUGUUUGCCAUACAAAAAUUGUGCAUGUUGAUACUGAAUGGAAAAUUUAUUACUCGUUUGAAACCAAGAGCAGGAUUCCUAAUUUUCACCGUUCAUAAUCCCACAUGAAUUAGAAGAUAAGACUCUGGACCAGAACUAGAUAUAUAAAAUGCAGUAACCGCAGGCGUUUUGUAUGGAUCCGUACGGUGAGCACAAAGCGAACUAUUCUUUCGCCUUUUACUAAAGAAUACCGUGUGCUCGCCAUUUACAGCGGCGUACAACUAUUUUUGGAGGGGCUGUACUCUCUCGAGUGCGGUUCCUUAUCAAGUCCAGCCCAUCAAUAUUACACAUUAUAAUUGUAUUAAUCCCGGCAAAUUUAGUGUAGUUUGUAAAUAUUUUAGUAGUGUAGUUUUCCAUCAUAUUAGACCAAAUCUAAGUUUAGUUUGUUAAUGUUUUGAAUGCAAACCUUUCUGGUGAAAACCGCAGUUCUAGCAUAAGUCUGAAUGUAAUACAGCCUUGAUUUGAUAGCAAGUUUGAAUUGUUGAAUUUGCGUUGGCUUUAAA
This is a long non-coding RNA of Mangifera indica (mango), 957 nucleotides long. RefSeq lists it as uncharacterized. The transcript is spliced from 2 exons. NCBI's taxonomy places the organism in Eukaryota, Viridiplantae, Streptophyta, Magnoliopsida, Sapindales, Anacardiaceae. The record is from RefSeq and is a predicted model, not a curated record.